RNAcentral lists this unclassified non-coding RNA (464 nucleotides) under Hevea brasiliensis (rubber tree). The record is from RNAcentral. Lineage: Eukaryota; Viridiplantae; Streptophyta; Magnoliopsida; Malpighiales; Euphorbiaceae.
AGAGUGGGAACAUGUUGAAGUCCCUUUGGGAGGGACGCCAAUUUGUUCAAAUUUAUCAAUUGAAGCCCCUGGAGGCUUCUAAGGUAUUGCCACGGCAUAUCACUAUGAUCCUCUGAAUCAGAUAAAUCAAGCUCCUCACAAGCCAAGAAGACAAGAUGCUCGAGGGAGGUUAGAUGCCGCAAAGCAGAAGACACCUUUGUUAUUCGUGGACAAUAACGAAUAUAAAGUUGUCGGAGUGAUAUGAGAUUUGUUAGCAACUCCUCUGGCAGAACUUCUAGAUCCUCAAUAUUCUCGAUAUGCAGAAGUGUCAAUUGAGAAGGGGAAAUCGAAGCACAAGAAGAGGUAGAUUGUGACACCGAAAUCUUCAUCUUCAGUAUGUCCUCCAAUGACUUCUUGCUGGCAUUUUUUAAUACCAAUUUUUGGACAGAUGGAAUGAGAGGCAUUGAAGUGAGGUUAGGGCAAGA